ACAAUGGGGGGUACGAGAGGGUCGCUACCACGCGAGUGGAUGCCAAUCCCAAAACCUCUCUCAGUUCGGACUGGAGUCUGCAACCCGACUCCACGAAGCUGGAUUCGCUAGUAAUCGCGCAUCAGCCACGGCGCGGUGAAUACGUUCCCGGGCCUUGUACACACCGCCCGUCAAGCCAUGGGAGCCGGGGGUACCUGAAGUGCGUAACCGCGAGGAGCGCCCUAGGGUAAAACUGGUGACUGGGGCUAAGUCGUAACAAGGUAGC
RNAcentral lists this ribosomal RNA (265 nucleotides) under uncultured bacterium. RNAcentral describes it as "partial 16S ribosomal RNA". It matches the Rfam family "Bacterial small subunit ribosomal RNA", at positions 1227 to 1500 of the family's 1533-position model. The record is from RNAcentral.